ACGGGAGGCAGCAGUGGGGAAUAUUGGGCAAUGGGCGAAAGCCUGACCCAGCAACGCCGCGUGAAGGAAGAAGGUCUUCGGAUUGUAAACUUCUUUUAUGAGGGACGAAGGACGUGACGGUACCUCAUGAAUAAGACACGGCUAACUACGUGCCAGCAGCAGCGGCAAUACGGAGGUGGCAAGAGUUAUCCGGAUUUACUGGGUGUAAAGGGCGCGUAGGCGGGGAUGCAAGUCAGAUGUGAAAUCCAUGGGCUCAACUCAUGAGCUGCAUUUGAAACUGUGUCUCUUGAGUGCUGGAGAGGUAGAUGGAAUUCCUAGUGUAGCGGUGAAAUGCGUAGAUAUUAGUAAGAACACCAGUUGCGAAGGCGAUCUACUGGACAGUAAUUGACGCUGAGGCGCGAAAGCGUGGGGAGCAAACAGGAUUAGAUACCCUGGUA
RNAcentral lists this ribosomal RNA (437 nucleotides) under uncultured Oscillospiraceae bacterium. RNAcentral's name for it is "partial 16S ribosomal RNA". It matches the Rfam family "Bacterial small subunit ribosomal RNA", at positions 341 to 792 of the family's 1533-position model. Lineage: Bacteria; Bacillati; Bacillota; Clostridia; Eubacteriales; Oscillospiraceae. The record is from RNAcentral.